CCUACGGGAGGCAGCAGUGGGGAAUAUUGCACAAUGGGCGAAAGCCUGAUGCAGCGACGCCGCGUGAGGGAUGACGGCCUUCGGGUUGUAAACCUCUUUCAGCAGGGAAGAAGCGAGAGUGACGGUACCUGCAGAAGAAGCGCCGGCUAACUACGUGCCAGCAGCCGCGGUAAUACGUAGGGCGCAAGCGUUGUCCGGAAUUAUUGGGCGUAAAGAGCUCGUAGGCGGCUUGUUGCGUCGGUUGUGAAAGCCCGGGGCUUAACCCCGGGUCUGCAGUCGAUACGGGCAGGCUAGAGUGUGGUAGGGGAGAUCGGAAUUCCUGGUGUAGCGGUGAAAUGCGCAGAUAUCAGGAGGAACACCGGUGGCGAAGGCGGAUCUCUGGGCCAUUACUGACGCUGAGGAGCGAAAGCGUGGGGAGCGAACAGGAUUAGAUACCCUGGUAGUCCACGCCGUAAACGUUGGGAACUAGGUGUUGGCGACAUUCCACGUCGUCGGUGCCGCAGCCAACGCAUUAAGUUCCCCGCCUGGGGAGUACGGCCGCGAAGGCUAAAACUCAAACGGAAUUGACGG
RNAcentral lists this ribosomal RNA (570 nucleotides) under uncultured bacterium. Its description in RNAcentral is "bacterial SSU rRNA". It matches the Rfam family "Bacterial small subunit ribosomal RNA", at positions 338 to 916 of the family's 1533-position model. The record is from RNAcentral.